Molecule: long non-coding RNA, 442 nt
Filed under: Rattus norvegicus (Norway rat)
Lineage: Eukaryota; Metazoa; Chordata; Mammalia; Rodentia; Muridae
Description: long non-coding RNA NONRATT029116
Source: RNAcentral
GGCCACCUGUGAAGCAUACCGGGAGUCGUAGUCCGCGCGCGCUCUGGGUGUACUGGGCGCUUCAUGGCCGCCGGCACUGCGCUUGCCUACUCUUCCGCUCGGCCCUAGAAAGUUUCGUUUCUGCCCAGCGGUGGACCCACGAGCGUGUGCCACCAUGGACUGUGACCAUUGCUGACUGGCAGCCACACAGCACUGAAGUGAUAACCUGCUUGGAUCUACACGUGUAAGAAAGAGGAAAACUAUGGCUUCUAGCAGCACUGAGACGCAGCUCCAGAGGAUCAUCCGUGAUCUACAAGAUGCAGUGACAGAACUAAGCAAUGAAUUUAAGGAAGGCGGAGAACCAAUCACAGAUGACAGCACCAGCUUGCACAAGUUUUCUUACAAACUUGAGUAUCUUCUGCAAUUUGAUCAGAAGGAGAAGGCUAGCCUCCUGGGUAGCAAG